AAUAUCCUUUUUCGAAUGGGUAUGGCUUCAACCAUUCCUGGUAGCCGCCAACUAGUCAACCACAGACAUAUUUUAGUUAAUGGACGUAUAGUCAAUAUACCAAGUUUUCGUUGCAAACCCCGAGAUAUUAUUACUAUGAAAGAUAACCAAAGAUCAAAAGGUCUGGUUCAGAACUAUAUUGCUUCAUCGGACCCGGGAAAAUUGCCAAAGCAUUGGACGAUUGACACAUUUGAAUAUAAAUGACUAGUAAAUAAAAUCCUAGAUAGGAAGUGGGUCGGUUUCAAAAUAAAUGAUUUGUUAGUUGUACAAUAUUACUCUCGUCAGGCUUGA
RNAcentral lists this ribosomal RNA (330 nucleotides) under Triticum aestivum (bread wheat). RNAcentral's name for it is "partial small subunit ribosomal RNA". Lineage: Eukaryota; Viridiplantae; Streptophyta; Magnoliopsida; Poales; Poaceae. The record is from RNAcentral.